This is a small nucleolar RNA of Lupinus angustifolius (narrow-leaved blue lupine), 101 nucleotides long. It matches the Rfam family "Small nucleolar RNA Z266". Rfam says of the family: Z266 is a member of the C/D class of snoRNA which contain the C (UGAUGA) and D (CUGA) box motifs. Most of the members of the box C/D family function in directing site-specific 2'-O-methylation of substrate RNAs. Lineage: Eukaryota; Viridiplantae; Streptophyta; Magnoliopsida; Fabales; Fabaceae. The record is from Rfam.
AACAGGCAAGGAUGAUGAUUCAAUUAGAUGUGUGAAAGGAAGAUCUCCUUUUUGAACUCACAUUUUUGAGGCAUUUCCAUUCAUAUCCCUGACUUGCUAUA